GGACCUGUAGCCCAGCCUGGAUAAGGCGACAGCCUUCUAAGCUGUAGAUCGUGGGUUCGAAUCCCAUCAGGUCCG
Molecule: transfer RNA, 75 nt
Filed under: Candidatus Woesearchaeota archaeon CG10_big_fil_rev_8_21_14_0_10_34_8
Lineage: Archaea; Nanobdellati; Candidatus Woesearchaeota
Description: tRNA-Arg
Rfam family: tRNA
About the family: Transfer RNA (tRNA) molecules are approximately 80 nucleotides in length. Their secondary structure includes four short double-helical elements and three loops (D, anti-codon, and T loops). Further hydrogen bonds mediate the characteristic L-shaped molecular structure. tRNAs have two regions of fundamental functional importance: the anti-codon, which is responsible for specific mRNA codon recognition, and the 3' end, to which the tRNAs corresponding amino acid is attached (by aminoacyl-tRNA synthetases). tRNAs cope with the degeneracy of the genetic code in two manners: having more than one tRNA (with a specific anti-codon) for a particular amino acid; and 'wobble' base-pairing, i.e. permitting non-standard base-pairing at the 3rd anti-codon position.
Source: RNAcentral